Polyodon spathula (Mississippi paddlefish) is the source of this 690-nucleotide long non-coding RNA. RefSeq lists it as uncharacterized. NCBI's taxonomy places the organism in Eukaryota, Metazoa, Chordata, Actinopteri, Acipenseriformes, Polyodontidae. The transcript is spliced from 3 exons. The record is from RefSeq and is a predicted model, not a curated record.
CAACCACGUGAAACUGGAAGAGAAUACAGCUCCCAUCUCCUGCUGUCACGAUGUGGAUAAUUUUCCUGUGGCUUCUUACCCAACACACGGAUAGUCAGACCACAGCAGGACAGUGUUCUGUGUUCCCUACACUAUGCUGUGCUGGAUGGAAUAACGCCUGUCAGAGGGGAGGCUGCUAUUGUGAUCAGCAGUGUCUUCAAAGCAAGGACUGCUGCAGUGAUUAUAUCAGCACAUGUGUAGGAACACAGACAGUAAGAACAUCUGUAUCAACAACUAUACCUCCCAUAAAGCCAUCUACACAAACAACAGCAGUGCUCACAAGUGACACAUCAGCACUACCAGGUGGAACAAUACCAUCUGCCAGCCUGUCAUCUUCCACCUCCAGCACAACCAGCAAUACAAUGACUACAAGCACAACCAAUAAUAUGCUGUCUACCCUUAAGUCCACAAAUACCACCAUGAUGAGCUCAACUAUGAGUACACUGCCUACUCUCCACUCUACACAUACAACCCUGAGUCCAACUAUGAAUACAACAACUCUCACUACAUCUGUGCCAGUCACCACUAUGAAUAUAGUACCUACCCUCAAACCUACAGACACAGCCACUCUGAAUACAUCUACUCCUGUGACCACAACAGAAACACUGCCCACUCUCCACUCUACAGACACAACCACUCUGACUACAUCUA